CGAAUACCGGAAGCGAGAAACUCAAGGGAACACGGCGAAUGUAGCUCGAAUUCGAAGGCGGCGGAAUCUCUUUUUUUCUCUGCCGCGAGUUCUCGUCCCAAAGAGCGAGGUGGCGACGGAUCCGGCGAUAAGACCUUCAGGUAUGCGGAAACCCAAUCUUUUUACGAGUUGAAUUCUGUGGUUCGCUCCGAAGUCCUACCGAAAUGACUCUGAGGGCGGGUUCAUCCAGAUCCUGUUUGGGUCGCAUUUUGGGAGAGUUGUAGUGGGUGCUGUGCAGGAUGACAAGGCAUAGGAGCGAGAGUCGAGGGGAUGGUGUUUUUGCGAGUGGGUGAGAGGUGGUGGAAUCAGCGCUGGGUUGGGAAGAGAUGGACGUGGCGAGGAAAGGGAUGGGGACAUAGCCUCACUUGUAUGCGAAUGCGUCGUCAACUGUUGAUGUAAUUGAGGGGGGAAUGAGAAGCAGAUGAGCAAGUGGAUUGCGUCUGGUCUGUGCUUGAGUGGAAUUCAUGUUGGCGUAGGGAAGUUUUCUGCCACUGUGCGGAGCUAGGCAUGGGGGAAAUGCAGGAGAAGGGUUUUAGGAGAGGCAGCAUGAGUUUGCGUCAGAUGCUGAGGGCUCGUCGUUGUUUCUUGCUCUGCAAAAUGGGUAGUUCCGGAUCAUGGAAACGAACAAUUAUCACUCAUUUUGGCAGGUGCAAAUGCUGCACAUACACCAUGAAGAUAAUUCUGAGUGUAUUCGAGGUCCAGUUUACCAAUCCAGCUCACAGAUGAUCAAUUAUAAGUAGAGCGGAUUUUGCUUGGGCUACAGAAAAUACUUUUACUGAAUUCAAAAUGCGUCAUUCAGUAACGAAUUGAGCUUGUUUUGAAUGUAUGAAAGGAAUUUGAAUUUCAAAAAAAAUGUUCAGUUUAUUUUGGUUUGGACACAACUAGUUUCUGCAAGGAUUUUGCAUGUUGCAAUAGAUUUGAAGAUGCACGAGACUUUGAGGAAGCCCAUUGUGGAGUCUGGGGAUGCUCUGGUGGUGGACUGGCUAUUGAAUGCCGUUGGCAGUUCCAGUUUGUGCAGGCCUAGGCAUCAAAAUCUACAUCGACACAAGAUCCAUCACAGCUACAACGAACCAACUCCACUCAAGUUACAGCUGUGAUGGAAUAUGUAAUUGCAUUCCACAUCACUUCAGGCUUGUAGAAAAAAUUGCAAAUGUUAAUUAAUAGGAUUAUAGUGCACUGUUUGUGGGGUAAAUAGGAAGACACAAAAUAAGCUUUUGAGCCUUUGUUUGUUGAAGAAGUUGUUCAACACAGUUAUGCACUCUUAAGAAUGGUAGUACAAACUAUUAUUUGUAGAAAGUAUUUCUAAAUGAAAAAAAUAAUUUUAGCAUUGUUUAUAAUUUGA
This is a long non-coding RNA of Physcomitrium patens, 1381 nucleotides long. RefSeq lists it as uncharacterized. NCBI's taxonomy places the organism in Eukaryota, Viridiplantae, Streptophyta, Bryopsida, Funariales, Funariaceae. The record is from RefSeq and is a predicted model, not a curated record.